GGAGUAUAUAUAAUUUGUUAGUAGCAGAAAAUGCUUGAAUCCCACAUAUCUACUUCCAGAUUUAUAAUUUCCUUUCCUCUUCAACAUUAAAUUAAACUAUAUAACUUCAAAGUUUAAAAUUUUAAUGUAUAUUGCUGCCAUCAUAUUUCAAGGAUUUGUUGGCAGCAUCUGCCAAUCGCUCCCUGGUGAACCUUACUAAAACUUGAAACAGUUUUCAAACUUCAUCAAAUCAAUACUGCCUAUUUUCACCAAGAUCAAUGAAUCUGUAGAGAAUAUUGUGUGAUGGGGAAAUAGGUAGCAUAAUUUGAUUAAAAAUGAGAUGCACCUAAGAGGCACCUUAUAAACAUGUGUGUAAAAAUCUAGGGAGAAUAAAUAAUGUCAAGAAUGCAUAUUUACAACGAAUUAUAAACAUGCUACACUGCACUAGUACAAGUUUCAGAAUGCAGUUGACAAUGACAAAGCCCAAGUGAACCUUACAGAAAGAAUUAGGGUGCAGACUGCAGAGACUAACAAUUCUGUAGAAGCAUUUCCCCAACUACUUGAAGCAGAGGUGAAAAAAUUUAUUUUAUUGUACCUUAGAAAUAAAUUCAAAAUUAAAAUAUAUUGAAUACCUUUAUAUCAGUGAUAGCCUGUG
This 634-nucleotide unclassified non-coding RNA is filed under the name Hevea brasiliensis (rubber tree). The record is from RNAcentral. Lineage: Eukaryota; Viridiplantae; Streptophyta; Magnoliopsida; Malpighiales; Euphorbiaceae.